UACGUAGGGGGCAAGCGUUGUCCGGAAUCAUUGGGCGUAAAGCGCGUGUAGGCGGCCAGAAAAGUCCGCUGUGAAAACUCGAGGCUCAACCUCGAGACGUCGACGGAAACCAUCUGGCUAGAGUCCGGAAGAGGAGAGUGGAAUUCCUGGUGUAGCGGUGAAAUGCGCAGAUAUCAGGAAGAACACCCGUGGCGAAGGCGGCUCUCUGGGACGGUACUGACGCUGAGACGCGAAAGCGUGGGGAGCGAACAGG
Molecule: ribosomal RNA, 253 nt
Filed under: uncultured bacterium
Lineage: Bacteria
Description: partial 16S ribosomal RNA
Rfam family: Bacterial small subunit ribosomal RNA
Source: RNAcentral